CCUCACCACCGUCAUCCAAAUAUGGAAUCAAUUUAGGGUAUACCUCCCCCUGAAUUACUUGUGUGUCCAGAUUUGUCAAAACUAAGAAGCUUGGACCCACAUCUACUGAGGAAACAACACAAAGCAGAAAGCCAGAGAAGAAAUGGAUACAUGGAAGCGCCUACUUGUUUUUUUUCUUUUGUGCACUUUGAUGCAAAUCUAUCAGGGUCUCUCUUACGGUGAGGAAGAGGAGAAACAGUGCUGGCCGGGCAAAGAUAAAUCCCACAGGACAGCUCUGUUCCAACCCAUUGUAAACCUCAUGAAGAGAUCUAAAGCCCUUCGCUUCUACGGACUCAUGGGGAAGCGCUCAGGUUACAAAGCAGAGAUGUCAACGAGUCUAAGGAGGAAAAUCUCCAGUAGUGGU
Long non-coding RNA from Nerophis ophidion (straightnose pipefish), 403 nucleotides. RefSeq lists it as uncharacterized. The transcript is spliced from 4 exons. The record is from RefSeq and is a predicted model, not a curated record. Lineage: Eukaryota; Metazoa; Chordata; Actinopteri; Syngnathiformes; Syngnathidae.